UGAAUUAUUAUCAGGAAAUGAUUCCGGACGCUCGCGUCGCUGACUCCCACACACUAGGUUCCAGCGUGGUCAGGGUACUUUCCAUUCCAGUCCAGCGUUCUCCACGAACGUUCGAGCUCUUCAGUUCGUAACAGUGAAUCUCGACUUUCAGGUUUGUUGGCACUAUGUGGACAAUACUGUUAUUGUUGGCCUCUGCAACUUUUGGUGCAUGCACGAAGGUAGAUGCCACUCUUGGGGAGGACGUGCUCUUACUCUGCAACUGUCCACGGAAUAAAGAACGUUACCUUGUUUGGCAAAUAGGUUACACCAUUGUGGAUCAAUACAUCCAUGGAUAUGAAAAAUCUAAUAUAUCUCCCCAGUUCCUGGGCAGGACACGUUUAUUUUUUCCUGAAGACACGGGAAACUGCUCAUUGCUACUCACAAGCGUGACUAAAGCAGAUCAAGACACGUAUACUUGUCACUACUUCAGUGAGAAAGAGUACACAAGUGCUGAUGUUACUCUGUAUGUGAAUGAACAAGGUCGGCAGGGGCAGCCUACAUCCAGCCCAUCAUUCAAACCUGAGAAGAAUGGAGUGCCAUAUGCGAUUGGCGGGGUGCUUCUCAUCAUUUCCCUGCUGUCAAUAGUCUUCCUGACAGUCAGAUAUCGACAAAGGCACCUGAGGUCAAAUGUAGAAGUACCUGAUCUUCCAGAUGGUGAACAACUGGAGUCCUUGAACCCUUGAUGGGUGUGAUGGUGUCUUGGCCUUACAGCGGGAGAGCUGUCUCUGUAACUGAGAACCGUCUAAGCCCAAGUGUGUCCACGGAGUAGAGGCAGCCUGACCUCUAAUGACUGACCUCUAAUGACUAGAGAACGGCUUUGUUUUGGGAACCCGUUGAUUGGUCAGGGGAUACGUUGGCGUUUUAUGCAAUAACUAGGGUCAAGUCAUGACAUGCAGACAGGACUCAUGGACUCAGUUGUUCUCCUGUGUGUGUGCUCGAUUUGGCUGAACUCCUGGAGCCCUCCAGACAUUGCCAGUGAAACAUCUGUUCGGUGUGAAGAUUGUUGAAGCGUUGGAAUUGAUUCAAGUGGGAAUUGUUGGUGAAUAAAUGACCCCAUUGAUGAUGCCACUGGAAUGUAAAUUAUAACCAGACUUUUCUAACUUUCAUUUUGAUGUAAUGCGCUCUAAAAUGGCUUAUCAGUGAAUUUGCAAACGUACCAGUCGUUUUUCACAAAGGAACGUGCUUUUGUUUAUAGCAGCCACCUCUGUAACUAAGAGAGAACUGUGUAUUUGAUUGGUCUUCAAAUGUUGCCAUACGCUGUUUUAGCACUAAUCAGUAUUUGUAUUAUAUUGUGAGCAAAUUAUUUUUGGGACGCAACUCACGUGAAUGCAACUAGUGCACUGACACAAAGACUAAACAGCAAUUAUAUUUUGUUGUGUAAUUGUCCCCAUGGGACAUUAUUUUUCCUUUUUUAGCCUUUUGUAUGUUUUUUGGGUCAGAAGGAUUUGGGAAUUGUACAAUAAUGUGAACAUUUUCAGAUAUUUAUGUAUAUUUUCUUACAUUUUUCACAGUAGUGCUAUCUUCUUAUACUGGAUAACUCCUUUUUUAAUAAUAAAUUUCACUGUAUGGUCCCACUUAACAAAGACUUUCUUUUGUGUUCUGUGUGUCUUUUACACUACAUGGCCAAAAGUAUGUUGAGACCUGACAUUUGACAUCUCGUCCAAUAUUAAGGGAAUUAAUAUGGGGUUGGUCCACCCUUUGCUGCGAUAACAACCUCCUCCCUUCUGGGAAGGCUUUAUACUAGAUGGUGGAGUAUUGCUGCAGUGACUUGUUUCCAUUGAGCCAGAAGAGCAUUAGUGAGGUCAGGCACUGAUUAGGCUAUUAGGCCUGGCUCACAGUCGGCUUUCCUACUGAUCCCAAAGGUGUUGGACGAGGUUGAGGUCAGGGCUCUGUGCAGGUCAGUCAAGUUCAUCCAUACCGUUCUCAACAAAACCAUUUCUAUAUGGACCGCGCUGUGUGCCCCGGGGGCAUUGUUAUGCUGAAACAGGAAAGGGCCUUCUCCAAACUGUUGGGGAAGCACUGUGAUUCUAUGCUGUACCAUUAAGAUUUGCUAACUAAGGGGCCUAGCCCAAACCAUGAAAAAUAGCCCCAGACCAAGGGGUGUCCAGAUACCUUUGGUCAUAUUGUGUAUCGUGAAGCAUACUGUUCUGUUUCUGUUUGAGAGAAACACUUCUUUUUCCAUUUGACAGGCAUUUACUGAAAAAGCGAGCUCAGUAUUUGUAUUCACAAUUUGUAUUCUGAAGUCCUACUUCAGAACGGAUGUGUGUCAAGCACAGGCAACACGUGAGGUGUUGCCAAACCGAGGGUGUGAUAAUUCUGUUUAAAGCUUAAAAUGUUUUUUUAAGACAUAUUAUAUUAUAUUUGAUCUUGUUUGA
Molecule: long non-coding RNA, 2414 nt
Organism: Anguilla rostrata (American eel)
Lineage: Eukaryota; Metazoa; Chordata; Actinopteri; Anguilliformes; Anguillidae
Exons: 5
Source: RefSeq, a predicted model, not a curated record